This 483-nucleotide long non-coding RNA is filed under the name Cyanistes caeruleus (blue tit). RNAcentral's name for it is "lncRNA (ENSCCEG00000007371.1)". The record is from RNAcentral. Lineage: Eukaryota; Metazoa; Chordata; Aves; Passeriformes; Paridae.
AAAACACAACCCCCACGAGAGGUCAAGAGGGCAGCGAAAAAAAAGUCCUGACACCAUCAUCCUUUGGAAAGAUCCCCAUGUGAGUUGUAAAUACAAGCUCUGUUUCUCUGCAUCUCCCAAGCUCACGAUUCACAGACUGCUCGGAAAUUGGAUAAAUCAACUUGCUUCAGGAAUUUUACUUGGCUGGUACUGCCCUUCACGCCUCUCUGCUCUUCCUGGGGUGACUGCCACGUCUGUGUGACCCCUUCAGAGGGAAUAAAUCCUCACCACGGCUCGCCCCGAGGCCUCCCUGGGAUCCUGGACCAUCCUGUUCCUGUCCUUGGCAAGAGCAGGGACCGAGCUGCCUGCUGAGCCAGGACAGGGCUGUUCCAAGGGGAACACCGUGAAAUCACAGGGAAGGAGCAAUUUGCAAGUAAUUUUCAGUUUCCACUAAUUUAGGAAGCAAAGGGGAAGGAGGGGGUUGUGUGAUGGGACUCUGAUGAA